This 277-nucleotide small nuclear RNA is filed under the name Sarcophilus harrisii (Tasmanian devil). RNAcentral describes it as "7SK RNA". It matches the Rfam family "7SK RNA". From Rfam's summary of the family: 7SK was discovered as an abundant small nuclear RNA in the mid-70s but a possible function has only recently been suggested. Two independent studies have found that 7SK RNA binds the CDK9/cyclin T complex (known as elongation factor P-TEFb). The record is from Rfam by way of RNAcentral. Lineage: Eukaryota; Metazoa; Chordata; Mammalia; Dasyuromorphia; Dasyuridae.
GGAUGUGAGGGCAAUCUGGCUGCAACAUCUGUCACCCCAUUGAUCGCCAGGGUCGAUUCGACUGAUCUGGCUGGCUAGGCAGGUGUCCCCUUCCUCCCUCACCGCUCCAUAUGCGUCCCUCCCGAAACUGCGCGCUCGGUCGAAGAGGACGACCUUCCCCAAUAGAGGCGUACCGUUCUUCGGUCAAGGGUAUACAAGUAGCUGUGCUCCCCUGCUAGAGCAAGCUCCCAAGGUCCAUAUUAUAUCUAGAAGGCACUAAAAGUGUUAAUAGUACUUU